GCGUGCCUAACACAUGCAAGUCGUACGAGAAAGUUGGCUUCGGCCGAUGAGUAAAGUGGCGCACGGGUGAGUAACGCGUGGAUAAUCUACCCCUCAGUUGGGAAUAACUCAUCGAAAGGUGGGCUAAUACCGAAUAAUACUGCAUGACUUCUGUUGUGUAGUCAAAGAUGGCCUCUGCUUGCAAGCUAUCGCUGAAGGAUGAGUCCGCGUACCAUUAGCUAGUUGGUAGGGUAAUGGCCUACCAAGGCAACGAUGGUUAGCUGGUCUGAGAGGAUGAUCAGCCACACUGGAACUGAGACACGGUCCAGACUCCUACGGGAGGCAGCAGUGAGGAAUAUUGCGCAAUGGGGGCAACCCUGACGCAGCAACGCCGCGUGAGUGAGGAAGGUUUUCGGACCGUAAAGCUCUGUCGAGCGGGAAGAAAUGCAUAGUGGCUAAUAUCCAUUAUGCUUGACGGUACCGCUAAAGGAAGCACCGGCUAACUCCGUGCCAGCAGCCGCGGUAAUACGGGGGGUGCUAGCGUUGUUCGGAAUCAUUGGGCGUAAAGAGCGUGUAGGCGGCUGGAUAAGUCAGAUGUGAAAGCCCUGGGCUUAACCCAGGAAGUGCAUUUGAAACUGUUCAGCUUGAGUAAGGGAGAGGAAAGUGGAAUUCCUGGUGUAGAGGUGAAAUUCGUAGAUAUCAGGAGGAACACCGGUGGCGAAGGCGACUUUCUGGCCCUAU
RNAcentral lists this ribosomal RNA (720 nucleotides) under uncultured bacterium. Its description in RNAcentral is "bacterial SSU rRNA". It matches the Rfam family "Bacterial small subunit ribosomal RNA", at positions 42 to 738 of the family's 1533-position model. The record is from RNAcentral.